UACAGAGGGGGCGAGCGUUAUUCGGAAUUAUUGGGCGUAAAGGGCGCGUAGGCGGCCUUUCAAGUGACGGGUGAAAUCCCUCGGCUUAACCGAGGAACUGCCUGUCAGACUGGAAGGCUUGAGACCGGGAGAGGUGAGUGGAAUUCCCAGUGUAGCGGUGAAAUGCGUAGAUAUUGGGAGGAACACCAGUGGCGAAGGCGGCUCACUGGACCGGUACUGACGCUGAGGCGCGAAAGCGUGGGGAGCAAACAGGG
This 254-nucleotide ribosomal RNA is filed under the name uncultured bacterium. RNAcentral describes it as "partial 16S ribosomal RNA". It matches the Rfam family "Bacterial small subunit ribosomal RNA", at positions 524 to 777 of the family's 1533-position model. The record is from RNAcentral.